Molecule: ribosomal RNA, 502 nt
Filed under: uncultured bacterium
Lineage: Bacteria
Description: bacterial SSU rRNA
Rfam family: Bacterial small subunit ribosomal RNA
Source: RNAcentral
AACAAACGCUGGCGGCGUGUCUUAAGCAUGCAAGUUGAGCGGCAAGGAGGAGAGAUCCUCCCUAGAGCGGCGGACUGGUGAGUAACGCGUGGGUAAUCUAUCUUAGGCAUGGGGAUAGUCACUAGAAAUAGUGGGUAAUACCGAAUAAGUUCCAUAAGGGGAGGACUUAUGGAAGAAAGGUGCUACGGCACUGGCCUUAGGUGAGCUCGCGUCCCAUUAGCUAGUUGGUGAGGUAAAGGCCCACCAAGGCGAUGAUGGGUAGCCGGCCUGAGAGGGUGUACGGCCACACUGGGACUGAGAUACGGCCCAGACUCCUACGGGAGGCAGCAGCUAAGAAUAUUCCGCAAUGGACGGAAGUCUGACGGAGCGACGCCGCGUGGAUGAAGAAGGCCGAAAGGUUGUAAAGUUCUUUUGCUAGGGGAGAAUAAGUGUGGGAGGGAAUGCCUGCACGAUGACAAGGACUAGCGAAUAAGUCCCGGCCAACUACGUGCCAGCAGCCGAC